CCCAUCCAUUCUACAUCAUAAAACUACGCAAAAAUCCGUCCACAAAGCAAUCUGCCGCAAGCAAGCAAAGGAGAAUUCUUGGAUGCACUUGCUACCCAAGUUGGAGCAUUUUAGGUGUUUUCUUUCCUUAGAUUUUAAUGUCUAAUUUUAUGUAUCUUUGCUUUGUGAGUAUGAGGAACUAAACCCCACUUAGUUAGGGGGUGAUUCGAAACCAUGUUCAUACUUGCAAUAUGAUUUGAUUACAUCCAGUUGUGAUUCAUAAGUUGUGAAUUCAAUUUACUUAUCCGAUCAUAUAAAAAAUGAUUUGUGUAUGUUGGUUGAGAGUGCACGCUUAAUUUUCAUGCAUGAAUUUAACGCUAGAAU
This 363-nucleotide long non-coding RNA is filed under the name Malus domestica (apple). Its description in RNAcentral is "long non-coding RNA (MDOM_LNC011456)". Lineage: Eukaryota; Viridiplantae; Streptophyta; Magnoliopsida; Rosales; Rosaceae. The record is from RNAcentral.